RNAcentral lists this transfer RNA (73 nucleotides) under Candidatus Servula neotermitis. Its description in RNAcentral is "tRNA-Arg". It matches the Rfam family "tRNA". Rfam says of the family: Transfer RNA (tRNA) molecules are approximately 80 nucleotides in length. Their secondary structure includes four short double-helical elements and three loops (D, anti-codon, and T loops). Further hydrogen bonds mediate the characteristic L-shaped molecular structure. tRNAs have two regions of fundamental functional importance: the anti-codon, which is responsible for specific mRNA codon recognition, and the 3' end, to which the tRNAs corresponding amino acid is attached (by aminoacyl-tRNA synthetases). tRNAs cope with the degeneracy of the genetic code in two manners: having more than one tRNA (with a specific anti-codon) for a particular amino acid; and 'wobble' base-pairing, i.e. permitting non-standard base-pairing at the 3rd anti-codon position. The record is from RNAcentral. Lineage: Bacteria; Bacillati; Actinomycetota; Actinomycetes; Bifidobacteriales; Bifidobacteriaceae.
GCGCCUGUAGCUCAACGGAUAGAGUGCUUGGCUACGGACCAAGAGGUUGGGGGUUCGAAUCCCUUCAGGCGCG